Molecule: ribosomal RNA, 434 nt
Filed under: Utivarachna cf. kinabaluensis MR359
Lineage: Eukaryota; Metazoa; Arthropoda; Arachnida; Araneae; Trachelidae
Description: partial 16S ribosomal RNA
Source: RNAcentral
CUCUAUUUUCUUCUCAAUAGUAAAAUCUGCUCAAUGUAAAUAAAUAGCCGCAAUUUAUUGUGCUAAGGUAGCAUAAUCACUCGCUUUUUAAUUAAAAGCUAGAACAAAAGAUUUAACACUUCAACUAUUUUAAAUUAAAUUUAAUUUAAAAUUUUCCUAAAUGUAAUAAGACAUUUAUUUAAAAGAAAGACGACAAGACCCUUUUGAACUUUACUAUAGUUAAACUGGGGCAGUUAAAUAAUUAUAAUUUUAAUUAACUUAAAUCAAAGACCUAAAUUAAUUAACUUUAUAAAUAAGUUACCAAAGGGAUAACAGCGUAAUAUUUAUUUAAAGAUCUUAUAUAAAUAAAAGAUUACGACCUCGAUGUUGAAUAAUAUCCUUUAUCCUAUGUAAUCAUAAUAAAAGGAAGUCUGUUCGACUUUUAAAAAAUUACA